RNAcentral lists this ribosomal RNA (253 nucleotides) under uncultured bacterium. Its description in RNAcentral is "partial 16S ribosomal RNA". It matches the Rfam family "Bacterial small subunit ribosomal RNA", at positions 524 to 776 of the family's 1533-position model. The record is from RNAcentral.
AACGUAGGAGACAAACGUUAUCCGGAGUUACUGGGCGUAAAGGGCGUGCAGGCGGCUUGUUAAGUUUGGCGUGAAAGCUCCUGGCUAAACCGGGAGAGGUCGUCGGAGACUGGCAGGCUCGAGGGUGAUAGAGGCGGGUGGAAUUCCGGGUGUAGUGGUGAAAUGCGUAGAGAUCCGGAGGAACACCAAUGGCGAAGGCGACCCGCUGGGUCACACCUGACGCUGAGACGCGACAGCAUGGGGAGCGAACGGG